Molecule: ribosomal RNA, 202 nt
Filed under: Fervidobacterium pennivorans
Lineage: Bacteria; Thermotogati; Thermotogota; Thermotogae; Thermotogales; Fervidobacteriaceae
Description: partial 23S ribosomal RNA
Source: RNAcentral
GAUAGUGUUAACUUGUAGUGAUGAAAGAGUGUAAGUGUGAAAGAAUGAGAUUGAUAUUACCAUUGUGCGUUUUCCAAAGAUUCUUCACUACACAAAAGCCUUAGACCUACCACAAGAAGUGCAUUUGGGAUAAUGGAAAGAGAAGUUUUUGCGUUUGUGAGAAUGGGAAAGUUUGAAGGAAUGAUGGCAGAGUUUGCAAAGG